GGAGGCAUGGCUCAAGUGGUAGAGUGCUUACUUAGCAAAUAGGGAGUUCUGAGUUCAAACCCCAGCACCACCA
This 73-nucleotide transfer RNA is filed under the name Dipodomys ordii (Ord's kangaroo rat). It matches the Rfam family "tRNA". From Rfam's summary of the family: Transfer RNA (tRNA) molecules are approximately 80 nucleotides in length. Their secondary structure includes four short double-helical elements and three loops (D, anti-codon, and T loops). Further hydrogen bonds mediate the characteristic L-shaped molecular structure. tRNAs have two regions of fundamental functional importance: the anti-codon, which is responsible for specific mRNA codon recognition, and the 3' end, to which the tRNAs corresponding amino acid is attached (by aminoacyl-tRNA synthetases). tRNAs cope with the degeneracy of the genetic code in two manners: having more than one tRNA (with a specific anti-codon) for a particular amino acid; and 'wobble' base-pairing, i.e. permitting non-standard base-pairing at the 3rd anti-codon position. Lineage: Eukaryota; Metazoa; Chordata; Mammalia; Rodentia; Heteromyidae. The record is from Rfam by way of RNAcentral.